This 453-nucleotide ribosomal RNA is filed under the name Mycobacterium sp. RNAcentral's name for it is "bacterial SSU rRNA". It matches the Rfam family "Bacterial small subunit ribosomal RNA", at positions 89 to 556 of the family's 1533-position model. Lineage: Bacteria; Bacillati; Actinomycetota; Actinomycetes; Mycobacteriales; Mycobacteriaceae. The record is from RNAcentral.
GCUCGAGUGGCGAACGGGUGAGUAACACGUGGGUGAUCUGCCCUGCACUUUGGGAUAAGCCUGGGAAACUGGGUCUAAUACCGAAUAGGACUCUGCGCUUCAUGGCGUGGGGUGGAAAGCUUUUGCGGUGUGGGAUGGGCCCGCGGCCUAUCAGCUUGUUGGUGGGGUAAUGGCCUACCAAGGCGACGACGGGUAGCCGGCCUGAGAGGGUGUCCGGCCACACUGGGACUGAGAUACGGCCCAGACUCCUACGGGAGGCAGCAGUGGGGAAUAUUGCACAAUGGGCGCAAGCCUGAUGCAGCGACGCCGCGUGGGGGAUGACGGCCUUCGGGUUGUAAACCUCUUUCAGCCACGACGAAGCGCAAGUGACGGUAGUGGUAGAAGAAGCACCGGCCAACUACGUGCCAGCAGCCGCGGUAAUACGUAGGGUGCGAGCGUUGUCCGGAAUUACUG